Mya arenaria is the source of this 207-nucleotide long non-coding RNA. RefSeq lists it as uncharacterized. The transcript is spliced from 2 exons. The record is from RefSeq and is a predicted model, not a curated record. NCBI's taxonomy places the organism in Eukaryota, Metazoa, Mollusca, Bivalvia, Myida, Myidae.
AGGCAGAUGAGAUGGACCAGGCAGACGAGAUGGCAGACACAAGCUCUCAAAGUACCAGUGAAAUCCAGUCAACUACGACAUCGCUGGUGCAAGAGAAGAUGAUGUAUGAUGGAGACGAUAGUGACGGAGAAAGCGACUGCGAGAUGUCAGAAGACCUUGUGUUUUCAUUGUUGAUGGAAUACAGUAGAGAUUAAAAUGAGAAAACAG